RNAcentral lists this ribosomal RNA (243 nucleotides) under Triticum aestivum (bread wheat). RNAcentral describes it as "partial small subunit ribosomal RNA". The record is from RNAcentral. Lineage: Eukaryota; Viridiplantae; Streptophyta; Magnoliopsida; Poales; Poaceae.
CGGGCCGGGACUAUACGGUUGUGUCUGUCAGACCAGGUUAUUUAUCAUGUGAUGGAUGAGAAUUCGCCGAAGAAGAUCUGGGAGAAGCUAGAAAGUCAGUUUAUGUCCAAGACUGCGACGACCAAGGUGUAUCUGAAGCAAAAGUUGUAUGAUAUGAGGAUGCAGGAGGGGUCAGAUCUUGUGGAGUGUAUGAACGCUUUUAAUCAAGUCGUGAUGGACAGCACGCUUGGGUGCGACGGUUGA